Ornithodoros turicata is the source of this 237-nucleotide long non-coding RNA. RefSeq lists it as uncharacterized. NCBI's taxonomy places the organism in Eukaryota, Metazoa, Arthropoda, Arachnida, Ixodida, Argasidae. The record is from RefSeq and is a predicted model, not a curated record. The transcript is spliced from 4 exons.
CCGUGUAGAAGGGUAGUUAGAAGAAGAAGAAGAAGAAGGGUAGUCUCGUUCACCCGUUCGGUUGCUCACUCCUUCCCUUGACUUGCUGAGCACGCCUGGUAACAUCAAUAUGGCUGAAAGUCAAAUGAGUGCGAUGAGCGGUAUGAGCUCCAUGUCUGGGAUGUCUGGUAUGUCUGGGAUAUCGACAGACAUAACCCAGGACAAAGGCGAGUGAAGUGGCAUCAGCACAACUCUCAA